RNAcentral lists this ribosomal RNA (499 nucleotides) under uncultured Glomeromycotina. Its description in RNAcentral is "partial small subunit ribosomal RNA". It matches the Rfam family "Eukaryotic small subunit ribosomal RNA", at positions 591 to 1092 of the family's 1831-position model. Lineage: Eukaryota; Fungi; Glomeromycota. The record is from RNAcentral.
CCAAUAGCGUAUAUUAAAGUUGUUGCAGUUAAAAAGCUCGUAGUUGAAUUUCGGGAUCAAUGUGUUGGUCGUGCCUUGGUACGUACUGGCAUUAUUGGUUUCUACCUUCUGAAGAACCUCGAUGUCAUUAAUUUGGUGUCUUGGGGAAUCAGGACUGUUACUUUGAAAAAAUUAGAGUGUUUAAAGCAGGCUCGCGCUUGAAUACAUUAGCAUGGAAUAAUGAAAUAGGACGUUUGAUUCUAUUUUGUUGGUUUCUAGGAUCGACGUAAUGAUUAAUAGGGAUAGUUGGGGGCAUUAGUAUUCAAUUGUCAGAGGUGAAAUUCUUGGAUUUAUUGAAGACUAACUACUGCGAAAGCAUUUGCCAAGGAUGUUUUCAUUAAUCAAGAACGAAAGUUAGGGGAUCGAAGACGAUCAGAUACCGUCGUAGUCUUAACCAUAAACUAUGCCGACUAGGGAUCGGAUGAUGUUAAUUUUUUAAUGACUCAUUCGGCGCCUUACG